GUAAGGAAUCUUCCGCAAUGGGGGCAACCCUGACGGAGCGACGCCGCGUGGAUGAAGAAGCCUUUCGGGGUGUAAAAUCCUUUUGUGGGGGAUGAGAUGGACAGUACCCCACGAAGAAGCCUCGGCUAACUACGUGCCAGCAGCCGCGGUAAUACGUAGGAGGCGAGCGUUGUCCGGAAUUACUGGGUGUAAAGAGCGCGUAGGUGGGAGGCCAAGUCUGUGGUGAAAGCGCCCGGCUCAACUGGGCAUGGUCCAUGGAAACUGGUCACCUGGAGGACGGUAGAGGCGAGUGGAAUUCCCGGUGUAGUGGUGAAAUGCGUAGAGAUCGGGAGGAACACCAGUGGCGAAGGCGGCUCGCUGGGCCGGUCCUGACACUGAGGCGCGAAGGCGUGGGGAGCGAACGGGAUUAGAAACCCGGGUAGUCC
This 425-nucleotide ribosomal RNA is filed under the name uncultured bacterium. Its description in RNAcentral is "bacterial SSU rRNA". It matches the Rfam family "Bacterial small subunit ribosomal RNA", at positions 354 to 796 of the family's 1533-position model. The record is from RNAcentral.